RNAcentral lists this ribosomal RNA (466 nucleotides) under uncultured bacterium. Its description in RNAcentral is "partial 16S ribosomal RNA". It matches the Rfam family "Bacterial small subunit ribosomal RNA", at positions 28 to 507 of the family's 1533-position model. The record is from RNAcentral.
GAUGAACGCUGGCGGCGUGCUUAACACAUGCAAGUCGAACGGAAAGGCUCUUGCUUGCUGGGGUUCUCGAGUGGCGAACGGGUGAGUAACACGUGGGUGAUCUGCUCUGCACUUCGGGAUAAGCCUGGGCAACUGGGUCUAAUACCGGAUCGGACGAUGGUUUGGAUGCAAUUGUGGACAGUUUUUUCGGUGUGGGAUGAGCUGGCGGCCUAUCAGCUUGUUGGUGGGGUAUUGGCCUACCAAGUCGUCGACGGGUAGCCGGCCUGAGAAGGGGUACGGCGACAAUGGGACUAAGGGACGGCGCAGUGUCCUACGGUGGGCAACGGUGGGGAAUAUUGUACAGUGGUAGCAAGCCUGAUGCAGCGGCGCCGCGUGGGUAAUGACGGCCUUCUGGUUAAAAACAGCUUUCGCUAAGGACGAAGCGGAAGUGACGGUACCUGGAGAAGAAGCACCGGCUAACUUCGUG